This 238-nucleotide ribosomal RNA is filed under the name uncultured bacterium. Its description in RNAcentral is "partial 16S ribosomal RNA". It matches the Rfam family "Bacterial small subunit ribosomal RNA", at positions 115 to 354 of the family's 1533-position model. The record is from RNAcentral.
ACGUGGAUAAUCUGCCCUGCACAGGGGGACAACAGCUAGAAAUGGCUGCUAAUACCGCAUAAGCCUACAGCCUCGCAUGAGGGAGUAGGAAAAGAAAUUCGGUGCAGGAUGAGUCCGCGUCUGAUUAGCUAGUUGGAGGGGUAAAAGCCCACCAAGGCAACGAUCAGUAGCCGGCCUGAGAGGGCGACCGGCCACAUUGGGACUGAGACACGGCCCAAACUCCUACGGAAGGCAGCAG